Non-coding RNA from Zonotrichia albicollis (white-throated sparrow), 232 nucleotides. NCBI's taxonomy places the organism in Eukaryota, Metazoa, Chordata, Aves, Passeriformes, Passerellidae. The record is from RefSeq and is a predicted model, not a curated record.
CGACAUGUACGAGCCCAGCACGGGCGACGACGAGGAGUGGGAGCGCUGGCUCAGGGGGCUCAUGGACGACGACGUGGAGAACGAAGACGAAGCCGACGACGACGAUGACCCCGAGUACAAUUUCCUGGAGGACCUGGACGAGCCGGACACGGAGGAUUUCCGGAACGACCGCGCUGUCAGGAUCACCAAAAAGGAGGUGAACGAGCUGAUGGAGGAGCUGUUUGAGACAGUA